This is a long non-coding RNA of Cervus elaphus (red deer), 791 nucleotides long. RefSeq lists it as uncharacterized. NCBI's taxonomy places the organism in Eukaryota, Metazoa, Chordata, Mammalia, Artiodactyla, Cervidae. The transcript has 5 exons. The record is from RefSeq and is a predicted model, not a curated record.
GAGACAGAGGGGAGCAGAGCCCCUGGGAGAGCAGCUGGGUCCCGCCUUGACUGAGACAAGCCCUGCCCCUACACCUUGCUGCUGUCUGGGCCAAAGCAGUACCCCCGUUGUGCUAAAACUCUUACAGUGGCAUCGCAGACCUGGCCCUCAGUAAGCAGAGCGGACGGGACCACCUCUCCUUAGAGCUCUCCCAUCUCAACUCCCUGGUACGUGGGAGGGAUGGGAGGUGGCCCACAGAGCAACAACACGUUUGUAAGAAAGAAAAGACAAGAUCUCCACCUCCACAAAGGGACACGCGAUGCUUCGUCCGGGUUUGGGGAGAUGACGGGCCCCCAGAACCUAGGACCCCAAGAGCCAAGUGUUAGAAUUCUUCCGCCCCUCCCCCCUCGCACUCCACCCUGGGCAGAGCUGGAGAGUUCUACAUGGGUGGGUUCUCGCUUCCUCAUCACUGGUGAGGUGCUACACCCUCCGGGAGCAGACACCCCCACCGCUUCCCUGUUGUGGACGAGGAAACGGAUGCUGACCCUGCUGAUCCCAGCAAGAGAUGGAUCUGUAACUCACCCCACCAACAACAAGGGGAGGUGACCACGAUGGACCUGGGGAGACGCCCUCCCGCCUCUCUGCCCCUGCAACGACCCUGGCGGGCACCACAGUGAAGCCAGAGCGGCCCAGAACGUCACACACUAGAACACGCUCAGAGGACCACCGGCUGGCAAACAGUGCCAUUCAGAUCACGAUGACAACCACUCAACCGACAGUGAAAAACACACCUGGAAGAAGACGGGGGAAAC